AGAAAAUGUAUCUUCACUUUCUAAAUGUUGAAGCAUUUGCCCAAUAAUGAGUUUUCCAGUUUCCUGAUCACCAAUUUUGUCAACAAUGGCACCCCUAAAUAAUGUUUUUCUUGAAGUUACAGUCAAUGGACUUGUGAAACUAAUGUUCUUUUGUACAAAGUUUGUGAAAUGGACUUGCUGGUGCCGAGUCUCUAAGUAGCUUCCAUUGUAGCCACCAAUCGCUUCGUAAAACCCUAUUUCUGACGAUUUAACAAGGAUAGAUAGCGGAAAAGAAAAAGCUUGACCGAAAAACAAAUCUAUGAGAAUGAAGAGGGGGUUUAUCUGAUUUCCUUCAAGAUGAUUUGUUCUUCAGACUAGCCAACUCCUCUUCUUGCUGUUUUUUUAAAUACCGCUGUGCAGUAGCAUUUACAAUCUUAACGAAAAAGUUAAGUAGCAUGAUGGUUACCACACCGUUCCAAACUGAAGCAAAUGAGAAAUCCCAUUUGUUCACCUUUAUAUUUGAAGUGGACGGAGUUUUGGUAGCCAUAUACUUGUCUUUCAUGGAAUGGAGCUUGGCAAUGAUUUUAGGUAACAUGGUUUCAAGACCAGGUAUAAAACUAAGCAUCCGAAUCAUCUUGGUUUCCACCCAAUAAAGAAGUUGAUUGUUGCAAACAGAAAUUAUGAACACGGUCUGUAUGUGAGUUUUAAUGAUGGCCUUUCCAAUCAAAGUUGCAAAAAAGAACUUCCAAAAUGGGAUCCCAAAUUGUCCACACAUUAUGCCAGCAAGAUCAAAUAGAGGAUUAGGAACCGAAGCAAGUAUUAGAAUUGUGAAGAAGUUCAAACAUUGUGCAUGGGAAAAAAACCAGCGCUUCAUUUGAGUCAGACGAGUAGCUAUAAAUCCAUUGUUUUCAGAAGAGGCAUCUAGUUCUUCCAUUGCUUCUACUUUACUGCCUGAGAGGCUUGCUGCUCUUGAAAUAAAAUAUGGGGGAAGCUCUCCAAGUGCGGUUCCAAGGCCCCAUAAAACAGCCUCUAACUGCACUUGGAGCAGUAUGCUACUAAGAGGAACACUUGUGCCAUGUGAAGAUGAAAAUACAGGGGGGCCAAACUCUGAACAAUCUUUGUGAAGCCAUAAAGGAGUUUUUUGAAAUUGUAUUGUAUCAUAGGGAGCCAUUUUGAGGUCAACUCGCCCACACUUCAUUGCCUUUAUCGUAAAUAAAGCAAUGUGAGGG
This 1208-nucleotide unclassified non-coding RNA is filed under the name Hevea brasiliensis (rubber tree). Lineage: Eukaryota; Viridiplantae; Streptophyta; Magnoliopsida; Malpighiales; Euphorbiaceae. The record is from RNAcentral.